RNAcentral lists this ribosomal RNA (451 nucleotides) under uncultured bacterium. RNAcentral describes it as "partial 16S ribosomal RNA". It matches the Rfam family "Bacterial small subunit ribosomal RNA", at positions 30 to 523 of the family's 1533-position model. The record is from RNAcentral.
AUUGAACGCUGGCGGCAUGCCUAAUACAUGCAAGUCGAACGGAUGUAGCAAUACAUUAGUGGCGCACGGGUGCCUAACGCGUGGGAACAUACCCUUGAGUAAGGAAUAAUGUCUGGAAACGGACACUAAUACCUUAUAAUGACUUCGGUCCAAAGAUUUAUCGCUCAAGGAUUGGCCCGCGUCUGAUUAGCUAGUUGGUGAGGUAACGGCUCACCAAGGCGACGAUCAGUAGCUGGUCUGAGAGGAUGAUCAGCCAAACUGGGACUGAGACACGGCCCAGACUCCUACGGGAGGCAGCAGUAAGGAAUAUUGGACAAUGGAGGAAACUCUGAUCCAGCCAUGCCGCGUGGGUGAUGAAGGCCUUAGGGUUGUAAAGCUCUUUCAAUGGUGAAGAUAAUGACGGUAGCCAUAGAAGAAGCCCCGGCUAAAUUCGUGCCAGCCGCCGCGGUAU